Molecule: long non-coding RNA, 1357 nt
Organism: Brassica oleracea var. oleracea
Lineage: Eukaryota; Viridiplantae; Streptophyta; Magnoliopsida; Brassicales; Brassicaceae
Exons: 2
Source: RefSeq, a predicted model, not a curated record
CUUUUAUUCCAACAAACAAUAUAUUUCCGUUUUUCUCUAUCCCUUUCAACUAAAUAAUUUUUAGCAUAAUUAAAAGAUUUUGUGAUCUGGAACAAGAGGUCAUCGCAAAUUGGGGAUUUCAAGUUACGUUGUACGAAGUGAUUACGAAGGCGAUUUGUCUUAGGGUUCGGAGAAGUGGACGAAGGUUUUGCGACUUGAUUUUCAUCUUGCUAGGAAACCCUUUAGUGGCUUCUCUAAUGGUGGUUCUGAAUUCAAGAUGGAGACGUUGAUCCCUGCUGUACUAACAAGUUCCAAGUUCGCAAGAAAAAAAAUCAAAAGAGAGGGAAGAUUGAGCACUCACUGAUUAACAUAAAUAUAUCUGUCUUUUUAGUUAUCCGAGAACUCCUUUGUGGUUUUGUUGACAUUUGGUCGGUGUCGGUGAUUUGUAGGGUCUGGGUUUGAAGAAUCUUGGGAAUACAUAUUUUUUGAAUUCUGUAUUGCAAUUUUUGACAUACACUGAGUUCUUAGAUGCUUACUUUCUAGAUGUUAGCAAUGUGAAACGAUGUAUGCAUUUAGAAGCUGGUUUGAUUAAUUGCUUGGCUUGGUGGAUCUUUUAUUCAGUGUCUAAUUGGAUGCUCUCAUGAAAACGUUUGUGUAGUCCAUGUGACUGGGUUUUGUGCUUUAUGUGCAAUGCAGAGGCAUGUUAGGACAACCCUUCAAGCUUCUGGCGGAAUAGCAGCACCAAGUCUCAAACUUAGGAGGUACGCUUUUGUAAAAUAAAUACGUAAGAAUCUAAUCAUAUCUUUCGGGAAAGAGAUGCUCUUCACCACGAUACUAUCAAUUGUACAUCUAUGUGUCAUGUACGUCAGUACGGUUCUCAUCCAGAGCUCAUAGAUUUCACCUUCUGCAAGAGAUCUCUGCCAUUGGAGGAUCUUCUUUGAGGAAUGAGAGGAGCCACAUCUCAUGUCAUUGCCAAAAAAAGCCAAAAUGAUGAAAGCGAUUGAAUCCUACUCUGAUAGAUAACAGAGCUACAGAUGUUACAAGUAUUUCCAACGAAUCUUUGCUUGAGACUUAAAGUUUUUGAAUUCCGAGAUGCGCUUAUAAGUUUAGGUGGAGAAGUAGUGGCUUUUGACCUUGUGCACAAAAAAAUAGCAGUGGCUUUUGACCAAAAUCCUUGGUCUAAUGGUUGCAGGAUUUUCACAAAAGUUCCAGUGGAUGUCGAUCCUAUGCUUUAAUUGGAGGAUAACAAUCAAUAAACACCUCAGCUUUUGUCUAACAUUUUCAUAAGAAUUUUUUUUUUUCACUCAUAUAUUUGUGUACCUCUCAGCUUUCCUCUGAUGUUAAAGAGCAGGAAACUUCAGCAGUUGAUUACACAACA